CAGCAGCCACGGUAAUACGGAGGGGGCUAGCGUUGUUCGGAAUUACUGGGCGUAAAGCGCACGUAGGCUGCUUUGUAAGUCAGAGGUGAAAGCCCGGGGCUCAACCCCGGAUGUGCCUUUGAGACUGCAGGGCUAGAACGUCGGAGAGGUGAGUGGAAUUCCGAGUGUAGAGGUGAAAUUCGUAGAUAUUCGGAAGAACACCAGUGGCGAAGGCGGCUCACUGGACGACUGUUGACGCUGAGGUGCGAAAGCGUGGGGAGCAAACAGGAUUAGAUACCCCUGUAGUCCCUGUCUCUUAUAC
This 301-nucleotide ribosomal RNA is filed under the name uncultured bacterium. RNAcentral describes it as "partial 16S ribosomal RNA". It matches the Rfam family "Bacterial small subunit ribosomal RNA", at positions 509 to 807 of the family's 1533-position model. The record is from RNAcentral.